UACCAGACUCCUACGGGAGGCAGCAGUGGGGAAUAUUGCACAAUGGGGGGAACCCUGAUGCAGCGACGCCGCGUGAGUGAAGAAGUAUUUCGGUAUGUAAAGCUCUAUCAGCAGGGAAGAAAAUGACGGUACCUGACUAAGAAGCCCCGGCUAACUACGUGCCAGCAGCCGCGGUAAUACGUAGGGGGCAAGCGUUAUCCGGAUUUACUGGGUGUAAAGGGCGUGUAGGCGGGGACGCAAGUCAGAUGUGAAAACCACGGGCUCAACCUGUGGCCUGCAUUUGAAACUGUGUUUCUUGAGUACUGGAGAGGCAGACGGAAUUCCUAGUGUAGCGGUGAAAUGCGUAGAUAUAAGGAAGAACACCAGUGGCGAAGGCGGAUGACUGGACGGCAACUGACGGUGAGGCGCGAAAGCGUGGGGAGCAAACAGGAUUAGAUACCCCCGUA
Molecule: ribosomal RNA, 446 nt
Filed under: uncultured bacterium
Lineage: Bacteria
Description: bacterial SSU rRNA
Rfam family: Bacterial small subunit ribosomal RNA
Source: RNAcentral